GGCCAAGUCAAAGGCAAUUAUGGCCAAAUAUGACCUGGAGGCUCGCCAAGCUAUGCAGGAACAGUUGUCUAAGAACAAAGAACUGACACAGAAACUCCAGGUAGCCUCUGAGAGUGAGGAAGAGGAGGGAGGCACAGAAGAUGUGGAAGAACUCCUUGUCCCUGAUGUAGUGAAUGAAGUGCAGAUGAAUGCAGAUGGGCCAAAUCCCUGGAUGCUCAGGAGCUGCACCAGUGACACCAAAGAGGCUGCAACCCAGGAGGACCCUGAGCAACUGCCAGAGCUUGAGGCCCAUGGAGUUUCUGAAAGUGAGGGAGAAGAAAGACCAAUGGCAGAAGAAGAAAUUUUGUUGAGAGAAUUUGAGGAAAGGCGAUCCCUUAGAAAAAGAUCUGAGCUCAGCCAGGAUGCUGAGCCAGCAGGCAGUCAAGAAACAAUAGGUGAGCUGUGAUCAAAUGGAAGAGGGAAAUUCCUAGUGCUGUGGACAGACUAUGGGAGAAAAAAAAAAUGUGUCCACCCACACACAAAACUGCAUAGUGAUUAGGCUCUGGGGACUUGCAAGAGUGCGUACACUGGAUCCCUGAAGAGAAAUUAGAUUCAUAACUAUUUUUCUUCGAAGACAUUUAAUAAGCAGUCAUCUGCAUGGCCGUGCAACGUGGUUCAGGCACAUUUUCUGUUCUUGGGGGCUUACAGCCUUCAGAAACCCAUAAUAACUAAACCAUCCUCGAAGUCAGGGUAUGAGUUAGCGUUCCUGGUACCUACACACCAGGGAGAAGUACGUAUGGUAGAAUGGCAAAUCUGAAAGUCCAUUCACACCUGUAGACACAGAUAGGUCAAUUUUGAGACAUUAGGAAACAUUUUCUAAUUGCUGGAUUUUUUUGUUUUGUUGGUUAAGUAGGAGUGGCAUUUUUAGCACUUCUUAAUGCUAGUUUAUGUGUGUAUACAUGGGGUGAGACUUUACGGAAUGAAUGACUCCACAGGGCUACAUGGCAAAUUAGAAUUGUGACUCCAUACUCAGGCUCUAUUUGUAUGUUAUAUUUUCUACCUGUUAUCUUGAAGAGAUCUUAUUAACAAUGUUAGCACCUGUGAGAUUGGUCAGAGAGUUCCCAUUCUGGCAAUAAACCAGGACACUAAAAAACCUGCCUAGGAAACUAGCUACAUUGAGAAAUCACUUGGCUAUCUGGACAAAUUACCAGGUCUGGUUUGGUUUCACAUAGGAAUGCAUUUAGAUGAUGGCAAAAAUCUGGUUUUACAUGGCAAAAAAAUUAUUUUUUUCUACUUUUUUUUGUUUAAGAGACAGGGUUUUGCUCUGUCAUCCAGGCUGGAGUACAGCAGUGCAAUCAUACCUUACUGCAGCCUAAGACCUCCCAGGCUCAAGCGAUCCUCUUGGCUCAGCCUCCCAACUAGCUGGGACUACAUGCAUGUGCCACCAUGCUGAGCUAAGUUUUUGUAGAGACUGAGGUCUUGCUCUGUUGCCCAGGCUGGUCUUGAAUUCCUGGCCUCAAGCUAUCCUCUCACCUCAGCCUCCCAAAGUGUUAGGAUUACAAGUGUGAGCCACCGCACCCAGCCUCCUUUUUUUUUUCAGGUUUCCACAUACAAAAAUUUAUUUUAAAAGAGCUAUCAUUUAGAAUGUAUUAUAGGGACCUUUACUUAAUAGUUUUGGCUGGAUAUUUCUGGGAUUAAUAAUUGCAAGUAGUCACUUCUGAGAGAAUUUUGGAAAGCAGCACAGCGGGCUGAGAUUGUGGGGGUGUACAUAUAUGACCACAGGACCCUAGUGGCUUUCUCUUGAGCCCCCUCAACAACUGGCCAUCUAGCUAAAUGUGCAGAGCGGCUGACUGUGAUAUGAAAGAAUGAAAGAUAGAUUUGCAUUUCCUUGGACAGUAAAUAAAUUGAAUUUUCUCAC
Molecule: small RNA, 1897 nt
Filed under: Pan troglodytes (chimpanzee)
Lineage: Eukaryota; Metazoa; Chordata; Mammalia; Primates; Hominidae
Description: processed transcript
Source: RNAcentral